Molecule: non-coding RNA, 105 nt
Organism: Canis lupus familiaris (dog)
Lineage: Eukaryota; Metazoa; Chordata; Mammalia; Carnivora; Canidae
Source: Rfam
AGGAGCAACAGCCCUAGUGGCGGGCCCAGCUCUGGAAACCUGAAUUCAGCCCCCGCAGGAACUCCGGAGCUCUCUGUCUGCAGGGCCUGGAGGCUCCGGGGCGGG